RNAcentral lists this microRNA (21 nucleotides) under Medicago truncatula (barrel medic). RNAcentral's name for it is "mtr-miR5558-5p". Lineage: Eukaryota; Viridiplantae; Streptophyta; Magnoliopsida; Fabales; Fabaceae. The record is from miRBase by way of RNAcentral.
UUUUCCAAUUCUAAGUCUAUC